GUAGGUGGCAAGCGUUGUCCGGAAUUAUUGGGCGUAAAGCGCGCGCAGGUGGUUCUUUAAGUCUGAUGUGAAAGCCCCCGGGCUCAACCGGGGAGGGUCAUUGGAAACUGGGGAACUUGAGUGCAGGAGAGGAAAGUGGAAUUCCACGUGUAGCGGUGAAAUGCGUAGAUAUGUGGAGGAACACCAGUGGCGAAGGCGACUUUCUGGCCUGUAACUGACACUGAGGCGCGAAAGCGUGGGGAGCAAACAGGAUUAGAUACCCUGUAGUCCACGCCGUAAACGAUGAGUGCUAAGUGUUGGGGGGUUUCCGCCCCUCAGUGCUGCAGCUAACGCAUUAAGCACUCCGCCUGGGGAGUACGGUCGCAAAGACUG
This 372-nucleotide ribosomal RNA is filed under the name uncultured organism. RNAcentral describes it as "partial 16S ribosomal RNA". It matches the Rfam family "Bacterial small subunit ribosomal RNA", at positions 527 to 896 of the family's 1533-position model. The record is from RNAcentral.